RNAcentral lists this unclassified non-coding RNA (333 nucleotides) under Hevea brasiliensis (rubber tree). The record is from RNAcentral. Lineage: Eukaryota; Viridiplantae; Streptophyta; Magnoliopsida; Malpighiales; Euphorbiaceae.
CUUUGCCUCAUCUUUCUCUGCUGGUUCUCAUUUCGUUUAGGGUUCGGUCACAGUUCCGCCCUCUCUGCUGAUCCGCGGCAGCGGCGGCGGCGAUCUCUGCUGAUCAUCGGCGGCAUCGGAGACAUCUGCUGAUCAUCGGCGGCGGCGGCGGCGGUGAUGGCGACGGAUAAGGGGAUCAGUCUCGAGGAGAUAAAAAACGAGACCGUCGAUCUGGAACGAAUUCCUGUGGAGGAAGUAUUCGUGCAGCUGAAAUGCAGUCCGGAGGGUCUGUCAGAGGCAGAGGGGGCCAACCGGCUCCAAAUCUUCGGCCCCAACAAGCUCGAGGAGAAGAAG